GUGGGAGGGGGCUUGCCCCCGAUAGCAUUGGUUAAGGCACUCUAUUUCGGGCUGAUACACCGCAAUCGGGGGCAAGCCCCCUCCCAC
RNAcentral lists this unclassified non-coding RNA (87 nucleotides) under Pseudomonas rhodesiae. Lineage: Bacteria; Pseudomonadati; Pseudomonadota; Gammaproteobacteria; Pseudomonadales; Pseudomonadaceae. The record is from RNAcentral.